This 800-nucleotide ribosomal RNA is filed under the name Brevibacterium sp. MN30. RNAcentral describes it as "bacterial SSU rRNA". It matches the Rfam family "Bacterial small subunit ribosomal RNA", at positions 371 to 1184 of the family's 1533-position model. The record is from RNAcentral. Lineage: Bacteria; Bacillati; Actinomycetota; Actinomycetes; Micrococcales; Brevibacteriaceae.
AUGGGGGAACCCUGAUGCAGCGACGCAGCGUGCGGGAUGACGGCCUUCGGGUUGUAAACCGCUUUCAGCAGGGAAGAAGCGAAAGUGACGGUACCUGCAGAAGAAGUACCGGCUAACUACGUGCCAGCAGCCGCGGUAAUACGUAGGGUACGAGCGUUGUCCGGAAUUAUUGGGCGUAAAGAGCUCGUAGGUGGUUGGUCACGUCUGCUGUGGAAACGCAACGCUUAACGUUGCGCGUGCAGUGGGUACGGGCUGACUAGAGUGCAGUAGGGGAGUCUGGAAUUCCUGGUGUAGCGGUGAAAUGCGCAGAUAUCAGGAGGAACACCGGUGGCGAAGGCGGGACUCUGGGCUGUAACUGACACUGAGGAGCGAAAGCAUGGGGAGCGAACAGGAUUAGAUACCCUGGUAGUCCAUGCCGUAAACGUUGGGCACUAGGUGUGGGGGACAUUCCACGUUCUCCGCGCCGUAGCUAACGCAUUAAGUGCCCCGCCUGGGGAGUACGGUCGCAAGGCUAAAACUCAAAGGAAUUGACGGGGGCCCGCACAAGCGGCGGAGCAUGCGGAUUAAUUCGAUGCAACGCGAAGAACCUUACCAAGGCUUGACAUACACUGGACCGUUCUGGAAACAGUUCUUCUCUUUGGAGCUGGUGUACAGGUGGUGCAUGGUUGUCGUCAGCUCGUGUCGUGAGAUGUUGGGUUAAGUCCCGCAACGAGCGCAACCCUCGUUCUAUGUUGCCAGCACGUGAUGGUGGGAACUCAUAGGAGACUGCCGGGGUCACUCGGAGGAAGGUGGGGAUGACG